RNAcentral lists this ribosomal RNA (253 nucleotides) under uncultured bacterium. RNAcentral describes it as "partial 16S ribosomal RNA". It matches the Rfam family "Bacterial small subunit ribosomal RNA", at positions 524 to 776 of the family's 1533-position model. The record is from RNAcentral.
UACGUAGGUGGCAAGCGUUGUCCGGAUUUACUGGGCAUAAGGGGCGUGCAGGCGGUCUGUUAAGUCUAGGGUGAAAGCUCCCGGCUCAACUGGGAGAGGUCCUUGGAUACUGGCGGACUUGAGGGAGGCAGAGGAAAGUGGAAUUCCCGGUGUAGUGGUGAUAUGCGUAGAUAUCGGGAGGAACACCAGUGGCGAAGGCGGCUUUCUGGGCCUUACCUGACGCUGAGACGCGAAAGCGUGGGGAGCGAACCGG